GCAGGAGGAUGGGCGCGGAGGGAAGGCGGAGAAGAAGCCACGGCUGCAGGAGAGUGAACUGAAGGCAUUUCAGCCCAAUAUGAAAAUGCUAUGGCCCGGGAAGAGUUUAAGACAUAUGUUCAUGGUCCAGAGCUCAUGCACACCUGAGUUGGCCCUUGAACCCAGAUCUGUCUGAUGCCAUGCAGCAUGACCACAGCGUGGCCCAGCCUUCCAGGACCAUGGGCUCUCUGAAGCUUGAAGAAGGUACGUGCAUGAGAAAUAAAUGGAGCCACUUCUGUCUUAAGGGGUGGUUAAGGGAGAGAAACAUGAGUAGCUUUAAAAGCCAUCGCAAGAAAUUCAUCAGAGACAGUCACAUUCAUCGUGAUGGGCUGCUAAGGGAAGCUGAAUGAGCUCCCAGGCAGCCUCCAUCUUUUGAGGCCGAUGUCAAAGAGAACAACAAGCCCUUCUCCCUUCCAGCCCCACGGCAGGAACACUGGCUUUCAAGGGAGGGCCAAGGCUGAUUUCUGGGAAGCCCCCCUGGAUGCAGUGCUCUGGGAGCGGGCCUGACAAACCCAGCUUUACGACGGACAGAAUACUCAUUGAGCUUCACCACAACCCAACUCCCAUUUUACAGAUGAGGACACUGAGGCUCAGAAGGGACCUACUUGCCUCUGGUUCAUGGCUGGUCCUUCCCAGGAAGUGAGCCGCUGAGGAAGUCAGCAGUUGAGCACAUGGCGCUCCCUUGCCACAUCUAAAAUGCACACAACGUUCUCCAGCAGACGUCGCAGCAUAAAUACCGCAGCCGCGCACCGCCUCUUCCAAGCAGUUGGCUUUGAUUUACCGCGACCCCAAGAAUGUAAGAUUUCUGAUGGGUACGCUCAUUUAUUUUGUACUCACUAGUCCAAGAGGAGCUGAGGGAGAUUGGAUGCUGCAAACCCAGUGCCUGUAAGGAGCCGGAUAAGUAACAAAUGAAUGAAGC
Long non-coding RNA from Ailuropoda melanoleuca (giant panda), 958 nucleotides. RefSeq lists it as uncharacterized. The record is from RefSeq and is a predicted model, not a curated record. NCBI's taxonomy places the organism in Eukaryota, Metazoa, Chordata, Mammalia, Carnivora, Ursidae. The transcript has 4 exons.